CUUAUUCUUCUUCUUCUUCUUCUUCUUCUUCUUCUUCUUCUUCUUCUUCUUCUUCUUCUUCUUCUUCUUCUUCUUCUUCUUCUUCUUCUUCUUAAUUUUGUAAUUUUUUUACACUCUUAUACCUUCUAACUCUCUCUAUCUCUCACGAUCCACUGAUCUCAUCUCUUAUAUUUGUCUUUUCUUUUUUUUCACUCUUUUGUUCCCUGUAAAAAAAAAAAGCUUCUCUUCUUCUUUUUUAAUGUCACUGUAAAACCCUAAAAGAUAAUCUCCAAUUUUGAAAGUUACUGCUCCAAGCUCCAAGGAUUUCUUUUUCUUUUAACUUUCUCGCGCGAAUUUCACCGAUGCUAUAAUGCAUUUGGGUAUUCUCUGUUUCUUCUUAUUUUUACUGGGUUCUGCAAUAUAAAUUUUUUCUGGUUUGAUUUUAAUUUUCAAAAAAGAACUCAUCAAAGUUGCUGAUUUUAUUUAAUUCAGAGUUAUUUUUGUUUUAUCUCUUCUCUAAAAUUUUGUACAGAAAUUAUGUUUCUUCUCUGAAAUUCUGGAUCUAAAUUAUAUCAUUCUCUAUCCUCCUUAAGUCAUGAAUAAUAAAUCCAAAAAAUCAGUACAUAGUAUAUUUCAUUUACGUGGUACGAUUAAACAUAAUGAAUAUUUUCGGUAACAGAAAAUGUAUCAUCAUUAAAAAGGAUAUAAAAAUUUAUAAGAAUAUAUUUAUUUUGCAAUUUGUAAAAAAUUAUAUAUAAUCUUUCAUUUAAGAAACGUAACAAUCUAUAGUUACUUUCAUCUAAAAGCUUCGCUCUACACGGCC
Molecule: long non-coding RNA, 802 nt
Filed under: Eutrema salsugineum
Lineage: Eukaryota; Viridiplantae; Streptophyta; Magnoliopsida; Brassicales; Brassicaceae
Description: long non-coding RNA (ESAL_LNC002183)
Source: RNAcentral